Molecule: long non-coding RNA, 987 nt
Filed under: Marmota monax (woodchuck)
Lineage: Eukaryota; Metazoa; Chordata; Mammalia; Rodentia; Sciuridae
Source: RNAcentral
CACACACACACACAUGGUAAGAGUGGGUUAGUGCUAUUUUCAGCAACACUACCUGAGAACUUCAGAUAUGGUGGUUGAAUGAUUACAGUUGGCAGCUGCCUGAUUCCCUUUGUUUAGAAAUGGCUCCUCUGGCAGUGGAGGGGUAUGGUUAGCAAAACUGUCUAUUUUCCAGUGAGUAUACAUCUGUCUGAAUUAGAAGGAGCUUAAUGGGCAAGAGGAUUGAGUUGCAUCUACAGUCAUUAUGGAAAGGUGGGUCACAAGUCAGGGAUUUUAAAAAAGAUAAAAAUAAUCCAGAAAGCAUUGAGUAAACAUGAAAUGAACUGAUUAGGAAGACAAAAGCUGUGAUACAAAUUACAGCUUUAAAGAAAUUAUAAUUUUUUACUCCAGAAAAAUGCUACAAAUUUAAAAUCAUGAAAGAAUAGAAUGAAUAUGAUGAAUCUAAUGUAAAAUUUUUAAAAUGGUUCAGUUUAGUAAAAUGUAAAAUAUUCUGAUCUGCUCAUGAAAAUUUUGUUUACAGUAUUUCCUUUCCUUCCUUAUUUCUUCCAAUACAGGGAAUUGAGGCCCAAUGAAGAAGUUACCUGGAAGUAAAGACUGUGGCUGAAUCACAGAAUAUUCACAUUUUAAAAGUUAUUGUACAAAUAAAACCAUGUUUAUUAUUUAAUUAGAAGAAUUCAAAGUGUAAUUCUUUUGAUAACUUUUUUUUGCGGGGGUAAGAGAAGUACCAGGAAUUGAACCCAGAGAUGCUUUACCACUGAGCCACAUCCCCAUCCCUUUUUAUUUUUUGAGACAGGUUCUUACUGAGUUACUCAGGGCCUCACUAAGUUGCUGAGGCUGGGUUUGAACUUGGGGUCCUCCUGCCUCAGCCUCCUGAACCACUGAGAUUAUAGGCAUUUGCCUCCAUGCCCAGCUUCUUUUUAUACCUUUUAUUGAGGUAAUCUUUAUUUUUUUAUUGAGGUAAUCUUCAAGUGUCCUGCACACUCAGCUUGA